This 214-nucleotide ribosomal RNA is filed under the name uncultured bacterium. Its description in RNAcentral is "partial 16S ribosomal RNA". It matches the Rfam family "Bacterial small subunit ribosomal RNA", at positions 118 to 351 of the family's 1533-position model. The record is from RNAcentral.
UGGGAACGUACCCUUUGGUUCGGAACAACCAGGGAAACUUGGGCUAAUACCGGAUAAGUCCGUAAGGAGAAAGAUUUAUCGCCAAAGGAUCGGCCCGCGUCUGAUUAGCUAGUUGGUAGGGUAAUGGCUACCAAGGCUACGAUCAGUAGCUGGUCUGAGAGGAUGAUCAGCCACAUUGGGACUGAGACACGGCCCAAACUCCUACGGGAGGCAG